UCAACCAAUAUAAGAAGGAGAGAGAUGCUCCAUCUAGGCCAAGAUUUUUUUUGGACCAAAUCCUACUUGAUUUAGGUCCAAUCAGGGACCUCAGUCAAGACAGUCUGAGUUGAUCAUUGAGAGAUCAAUUUAGACUUAAUCGAAUCAGAUCUUGGUUAGAUUCUCUCCCUCUUCCUCUCUCUCUCUAUGUCUUUCUUUAUUUUUUUGUUCUUUCUUUCUUUCCUUGUUAAACUUGGGACAGAGCUACCAUGGGGGAGAGAAAGUUAAGUGGGGAAGGAGGGGUGGGAUAGGCCAUGAUGUGGCCAAAGUGGUUGGCGGUGGUGGUGCGGUCAGAGUAUUGGUUGUGAUGGUCGCCCAAUCAUGCACAGGGAGGUCGGA
RNAcentral lists this long non-coding RNA (378 nucleotides) under Elaeis guineensis (African oil palm). RNAcentral's name for it is "long non-coding RNA (EGUI_LNC008507)". The record is from RNAcentral. Lineage: Eukaryota; Viridiplantae; Streptophyta; Magnoliopsida; Arecales; Arecaceae.